GGGUGUAGCCAAGCGGUAAGGCAACGGAUUUUGAUUCCGUCCACCGAAGGUUCGAUUCCUUCCACCC
Molecule: transfer RNA, 67 nt
Filed under: uncultured Sutterella sp.
Lineage: Bacteria; Pseudomonadati; Pseudomonadota; Betaproteobacteria; Burkholderiales; Sutterellaceae
Rfam family: tRNA
About the family: Transfer RNA (tRNA) molecules are approximately 80 nucleotides in length. Their secondary structure includes four short double-helical elements and three loops (D, anti-codon, and T loops).
Source: RNAcentral